AUGGAAGAGUUAGACGCCGGCCGUCGGCACCAACAGCCGGAGCUCCUCCGUUGCAUCGCUGGAGGUGGCAUAGCGCACAUGGAGGGGAGCCAUGGUGAGGAACGAGCUGAGCAGAGCCUGGUGCUGCGAGCGAGCGCGGCAUGGCGGCUGCGACUGCGAGCUAGACCAGGGCCGCUCGCUGGAGCUCACCGCGUCUAUCUCAGGAAUCGCGUGUGCGUGGGGAUUUUUUUGAAUUGGAUGCGACGCGAGGAAGACGAGGCCACGCGCGGCGUUCUAUUGUAUCAGCCUCAGAGCGACACGGUCUAG
This 306-nucleotide ribosomal RNA is filed under the name Triticum aestivum (bread wheat). RNAcentral's name for it is "partial small subunit ribosomal RNA". Lineage: Eukaryota; Viridiplantae; Streptophyta; Magnoliopsida; Poales; Poaceae. The record is from RNAcentral.